RNAcentral lists this long non-coding RNA (3754 nucleotides) under Sorghum bicolor (sorghum). RNAcentral describes it as "long non-coding RNA (SBIC_LNC008109)". The record is from RNAcentral. Lineage: Eukaryota; Viridiplantae; Streptophyta; Magnoliopsida; Poales; Poaceae.
UGAGUGUUUCUUAUAUAUAUCUCAAUGGAUGACACAACAGAUCGCGAGUAAUUACAGAAUUACAAAAAAAAGGAACAUGAAGAGAAAUAAUUCAAUCGAGGAAUUCAGAGCAAGCCGGGGCGCGAGUGGAAGGGGAACUGAUGCACCACGAUCGGUGGAGCCUUGCUAUCAUCUCGCCUCUUCCUCCUCUCCUUGUCCUUGCCCCCUGCUGCCGCUCCCUGCUCGCCUCCCUUGUUCAUCUUCCCCUCACCUGCCCCCCGCUUCUGCCGCUGCUUAGCCUCUGGAUCACCUCCCGAUUGCUUACCGCCGGCAGCAGGCGACACGGCGGCGACGCCGCCGCAGCAUCCUCCCAAAGAAGCCCAGUACCAUGAUUGUUGGCCGACGACAGAGCGCGCGGUGGGUGGAUCGAUGGACCGAUGUUUUUCCUUCAGCCGAUCGAGCAACUCCUCCUGAUCCUGAUGACUACUGCGUUUGAGCUCUGGUGGUCUACGUGCUGCUCCGAUGUCUCCUGCUGCUGCUCAGCUGCUGUGUCUGUGUGCCUCUGUGUCUCUGAGUGGCAGCUUAAUUUAUAGGAGGCCGCUGCUGCCAAUCGAGUUGCGUGACGAGCCGGCGGGGUGCUUUUGUUGCUGCGGAUGCGUGCCGGGUGGCAAGGGAAGGUUAGCUUGAAGCUUCGUCCAAGAAGGCUCCGGGUGAGAGUGAGACGCUGAGUGAACGAGUCUAUUGGCUUGUAUUGGUCUUGCUCCAUCAGCUUGCGGAUAUGAUGCUGACGCUGCCUUGGUUGCCAAGGUUUCUACUCCCGUGUUUUGACUUAGGCCUUGUUUAGUUCACAAAAUUUUUCAAGAUUCCCCAUCACAUCGAAUCUUGCGGUACAUGCAUGAAGCAUUAAAUAUAGACGAAAACAAAAACUAAUUACACAGUUUACCUGUAAAUCACGAGACGAAUCUUUUGAUCCUAGUUAGUCUAUGAUUGGAUAAUAUUUGCCACAAACAAACGAAAGUGCUACAGUGGCAAAAUCCAAAACUUUUCCCAAACUAAACAAGGCCUUAGACUCAGGCCUUGUUUAGUUUAUGCAGAAAAUCAAAAAGUUUUCAAGUUUUCCCGUCACAUUAAAUCUUGCGGUAUAUACAUAAAGCACUAAAUAUAGAUGAAAUAAAAACUAACUAUACAGUUUGUCUGUAAAUCGUGAGACGGAUCUUUUGAUACUAAUUAGUCUAUAAUUAGACAAUAUUUACUACAAACAAACGAAAAUACUACAAAUAUAAAAUUUUUUCGCAUCUAAGCAAGGCCUCGGGUAGAUGCUCUGAAGCUCAGCUCAGCUCGGCGGCGUCCACAGUCAAACCAACGUGGGCUUUAAUGUAUAGAGGGCUUGGCUACCUAUAUACUACUCCUAAAAGGCUAAAAUAGUUUAUCGAUCGAGUGGUCUGGCGGAAAAAUAAACGAGAGCGAGGAACUUUCUCGUGUCGUGGCGUCGUGGGAGAGGAGAUGACCGAGCACGGCGCUGUCAGGUGGAAAACGACCACUCGUGUCUAGUGGGUUCGUUAACCUGCCACUGUGUGCCACAUGGCACGUGCUACUAGUACAGUAGUACUUUACUUUGGUUAUCUGUCUAUCUGACGUUUUCAUUCGGCAAGAUACCGGCCGUCCUGUGAGACUUCUUUACUGCGUUAUUCCUUUUCAAAUUUCACUACCACUAGUUUUUGUCGUACUCGUGGUAUUUCUUGUGGAAACAAUUUUUUGAUGUUCAUUUUUUUUCAAUCUUUUUGGAAGUCCGGCGGGCUCUAGAUUCUGACUUCUAAGUAUGGGUAUGUGGAGUAGCCUGAAUUUGAUUUGUCACUGGAAAUAAUGAAGGGGUGGUUUGGAAGUAGGGAUGAAAACGGAUCGGAUCGGUGCGGGUACUGCCUUUUCCAUAUCCUAAUCCACUUUUUUUUGUCGGAUUCGGUGCGGAGCGGAUAAUACACGGAUGCGGAUGUGGAUACGGUUUUUUUCGGUAGUCGGAACUGGUACGGAUAUGGAGCGGAAACGGAUCGGAGACGGAUAUACAUAGAGAAUUAUAUGCUUGUCAAGAAUUUAUUUAGUACAAAACAAGAAUAGGCAAUAGAUAAUAAUUUUGCAUUGCAUUCCAUGUUGCUACUCUCACACUAAUAAUUAACACUUUACAUGAUAUCUCCACUAAAAAAUAAUAAGUUAUUAGCCAAUAAAUAAUAGCAUCUAGCAAAAUUCUUAAUUUAAAAAUUAGAACAUUAAACAACCACAUCAUAAAAUACAAGUCCUCAACUAACAAACUUUUUAAAAUCCUAAAUUCUUUAGUCUUGGAAGAGAAAACCUUCGGAUAUCCUAUUUUGAACAUCGGAUAAUCCACAUAAAAUUUGCGGAUAAUCCAUAUCCGCCGGAUUUUACCUAUUCCAUAUCCUACCCCGUAUCCGCAGACAAUCGGAUUCGGAUUACCCGUAUCCGUACGGAUGUUAAAAGUUCUUCUCCAUAUCCUCAAAAUUCGGAUUCGGAUCGGAUCAGUUCGGAAAAUUAUCCACACCACUUUCAUCCCUAUUUGGAAGAGCUCUAACUUCAGUUUCUCCGAAGAAAAUCACUCCCAGUCAAUUAAACGCUCAAAAUAUCAACUGAUUCAGGUAAGAAUUAGGAGAGAAUUAUUUCACCAUUUACAUUAGGAGCUGGGAGCUAAAAAAAACCUACUUCACUCUACUUCUUGUUAUAUUUUGGUGAGGAUCAACUCCCCACCCUGCUCAAUGAAAAUCACUUUAUCGGAUACUUAAGGAAAAGAGCUAAAGAAUCAGUGAGCUGCACUCUCCUAGACGGGGCCUCAUUCAUCAUGUUACACUACGGAGAGCGAAGGAGUACUAUGUUACAAUCUCUACGCGGUCAUUUUCUUUUUGUGAACUUCAAAGAAAUUUCCUCAUCUAAUCCCUCGCAUGCAAAAUACUCCGAGGCUCCUAUAUAUUCCUUAAUUAGUAACGCUGAUCUUUCUACCGUAACUCACAAGUCGGUUUGACUUCGACCGUGCCGAAGGAAUACAGCGGCAUCAGCAGUCAGCGGUCAGCCGUGCGUGGGAGUAGGAUUCCACCUGAAGCAUGCCUGCUUGCCCGUGCGUGUGUGCUCCCCAUCUAUCCCAAAAUCUUCAAGAACAUCCCUCAUCAGAAGGAAAUACCAGCAACUUCCACUAUAAAUAUGAGUACAUACUACUACUACUACUAUUAGCCUGCAUCAGAACAUUCAGAACAACCAUUAGAACAUUCAGCAACACUAGGUUCACAUACGCACUCAACAUUCAGAACAACCAUCAAGCAAACCACAAAGCCUGCGAUGGCUCAGCUCGGAAUCGGCAGCCCUGCUCGGCCUUUCAGUGCUUCUCCUGAAGCAGUGACGACGAACACGACAGCCUCAACGACGGCGAAAGCCGGAGAUGGAGAGCUGAAGAAGCAACAACCAGUCCAAGUCAACGGAACUGGCGUUCAGAAGACGGGAGAUCAUCAUCUCAAGGUUGCAAAACUAGAGGGGACGAAGAACAACGAGCGAGCACCCAUCGUCGUGCAUCACUUCCCCUUCCCUUCUCGCCAUGGACUGCUGUGAUCUCGGCCCUGGCUUGUUUGACAUCGUCACCUUUACUUCUCGUCUUGUUUGGAAAAUAUGUAGUACACACAUGGGUCGUCUGCCAUAGUUUUCUUUACAUGUUUUGCAGAAGGAAAACAACAUAUAUGAUGACACAUGGGGCCAAUAUUAAUGGACGAUAAGCAUUAUGAGG